AAACAGACCCUCUGUGGCUGACUUCAAAUCUCUGCUCAGCUCAGCACAGGCUGUGUCCCAGAGGACCGGGCACUUUUCUCUGAGCGCGUUGGUUUCUCAUCUUAGUGGAAGACUCAGUCCUAGGCCCGUGGGGAAAGUGGCGUUGUUUCUGCAGUCUGGGCAAACAGGAACGCAGCCGUCAGGUGUUGGGCCCAGCACCAGUCCCUGUGUUCAUGGACCGAGAGGACCUGGUACAGUUGAGGCCGUGCCGGCAGCAGGACUGCUCAGCUUGCAACCCGAUGGACUGCAACUGGAGGCCCUGAGCAGAGUCACUGAGGGCCAGGCUCCAGCAGCAACGGGGCGGAGCUUACAAAGUGACCCUGCCCACCCUCGAUUACAAACCACACCCUUAGUGAUAGUCCUGGAAGACUACAAUUCCCAGGAGAGAGCACGACAGCGGCGACAGCAGCGCGUGCGUAAGCGUCCACGCCAGAGAGCGCGUAGGGGGCGAGUCCUGCGAGCCGAUUGGUCAGCAUCAAGAGCCGCUGCUGUAUUCGCGGAAAACGCGCGCUGGCAUCUGCGCCUGCAGUACUGUUUUCUACGGUUGUUGGCUGUUGCAGAGGCGGCAUGGAUCUCAGCGAACUGAGAACCAAAAAAAAAAAAAAACUUUUAUAAUACUCAGGAGGCAGAGGCAGGAGGAUCUCUGUGAAUUUGAGGCCAUCCUGGUUUACAUAGUGUUCUCCACAAUAGCUAGGGCUACAUAGAAAGACCGUCUCGAAAAACAAAACAAAAUUGUAUUUUAUGGAUAUAGGUAUUUUGCCAGCAUGUAUGCCUGGGCACCAUGUGCACAUUUGGUACCUGCAGAGAACAUGGCGCAUACACGUAAAAUUCAAAAAGCAUUUUCUCUUCUUUUUAAGAUUUAUUUAUUGUGUAUACAGCGUUCUUCCUGCAUGUGUGCCUGCACUCCAGAAGAGGGCAUCAGAUCCCAUCACAGAUGGUUGUGAGCCACCAUGUGGUUGCUGGGAAUUGAACUCGGGACCUCUGAUAGAGCAGCAAGCACUGGUGGGUCACAGAGUAGGGGAUGGUGGGGAGCCACACUUAGCCCGGGCAAUUUGACACUUAAACAAUGGCAGGUGCCUUGGUACUCAAGAAGUCAAAAACACAGAACUUUAAUCCCAGCUCCAGAGGCAGAGGCAGGUGGAUGGCUAGCCUGGUCUACAUAGUGAAACUCCAUCUCAACAAGAAAAAAGGCAAAGCAGCUAAGGAUGAACAUGGCAUAUGCCUGUCACCUGCCACGCUGAUGCUGUCACCAUUACCUCUGUCUCCCUAGAUCCCAAGACCAAAGCCUGGCUGAGGAAACAUGUGGACCCUGUGUUUGGCUUCCCCCAGUUUGUACGGUUCAGUUGGAGCACAGCCCAGGCCAUCCUGGAAAAGGAGGCAGAAAGUGUCACCUGGGAAGACUCAGCAGCUGAGGAGGAUCCUGAGGGACCCGGAAGAAUCACCUCCUACUUCAGCCAGGGCCCGCAGGCCUGCCGCCCUCAGGUCUCCCACAAAUACUUCCAGGAGCGAGGCCUGGAGACAGCCACCAGCCUCUAGGAGCCAAUGUGUGUACCUCCCCUUCUAACUCACAAUAAAAGCUGUUCAAG
RNAcentral lists this long non-coding RNA (1625 nucleotides) under Rattus norvegicus (Norway rat). RNAcentral describes it as "long non-coding RNA NONRATT014581". The record is from RNAcentral. Lineage: Eukaryota; Metazoa; Chordata; Mammalia; Rodentia; Muridae.